UACAGAGGUCUCAAGCGUUGUUCGGAUUCAUUGGGCGUAAAGGGUGCGUAGGCGGCGCGGUAAGUCGGAUGUGAAAUCUCGGAGCUUAACUCCGAAACUGCAUUCGAUACUGGCGUGCUUGAGGACUGGAGAGGAGACUGGAAUUCAUGGUGUAGCAGUGAAAUGCGUAGAGAUCAUGAGGAAGACCAGUGGCGAAGGCGGGUCUCUGGACAGUUCCUGACACUGAGACACGAAGGCCAGGGGAGCAAACGGG
This 253-nucleotide ribosomal RNA is filed under the name uncultured bacterium. RNAcentral describes it as "partial 16S ribosomal RNA". It matches the Rfam family "Bacterial small subunit ribosomal RNA", at positions 524 to 776 of the family's 1533-position model. The record is from RNAcentral.